This 465-nucleotide ribosomal RNA is filed under the name Vreelandella stevensii. RNAcentral describes it as "partial 16S ribosomal RNA". It matches the Rfam family "Bacterial small subunit ribosomal RNA", at positions 338 to 795 of the family's 1533-position model. The record is from RNAcentral. Lineage: Bacteria; Pseudomonadati; Pseudomonadota; Gammaproteobacteria; Oceanospirillales; Halomonadaceae.
CCUACGGGCGGCUGCAGUGGGGAAUAUUGGACAAUGGGCGAAAGCCUGAUCCAGCCAUGCCGCGUGUGUGAAGAAGGCCUUCGGGUUGUAAAGCACUUUCAGUGGGGAAGAAAGCCUUGGGGCUAAUACCCUCGAGGAAGGACAUCACCCACAGAAGAAGCACCGGCUAACUCCGUGCCAGCAGCCGCGGUAAUACGGAGGGUGCGAGCGUUAAUCGGAAUUACUGGGCGUAAAGCGCGCGUAGGCGGUCUGAUAAGCCGGUUGUGAAAGCCCCGGGCUCAACCUGGGAACGGCAUCCGGAACUGUCAGGCUAGAGUGCAGGAGAGGAAGGUAGAAUUCCCGGUGUAGCGGUGAAAUGCGUAGAGAGCGGGAGGAAUACCAGUGGCGAAGGCGGCCUUCUGGACUGACACUGACGCUGAGGUGCGAAAGCGUGGGUAGCAAACAGGAUUAGAUACCCGUGUAGUC